GGUUAAACGAAUCAAUAAAAGUUAAGUGAAUAAAUACACCGUCAUAUCUGAAAAUACACAAUCUACAGUGUUUAUCAAAUCAGAAAUGUAUUUAGGUGUCAUAGCAGAGCUGUAGCUCUAUGAUAUUGAAUUAUGAUAAAAUACUGUAAUUAAUAGACUUAUUAACAGGCUCUACAGCACAGGAGAGUAUUUACAGAACUAAUCUGCUGGAAUUGAGGUUUCAAACAACUGAUGACUAUAAUAUUUGAAUAAUACUGCUGCAAAAGAUGUUUGGCAUGUGUUGAUCUACCUUAAUAUAUAAGAUAAAACGUCUCAAAACAAGGGUCACCUGACUGGAAACAUUGGCACUGGAAAAGAGCAAGUUUAUGAGAAAUUUAAACCUUUAACCCCAUCCUGAACCCUGAAUAAUGAAUUAAUGGAAAAAGACACAGAUUACUAAGAAAUAAAGCCACUGAUUCACUGGAUCUCACGAAGGUUAUAAUUCACAACAAGUCCAGUGAAUGAAUUUUGAUAGUUUGGCAAGGGAUGAGGACGAGCGGUUUGAGUUGAACUGUAGGAUGUGCUCGUUUAAGAAUGACAAUGUCAUUUACUUACCCUCAUGUUUUUCUGUAGGACACAAAAAUGAGAUGUUAAGAUUCUUUAAGAAGAAAAGAAAGCCUCAUACCUUUGGGCUGCACAAAAUUUUUUUUCAAAUUCAAAUUUGAAAUUUGUGGUUUAAAAUGCUAUUUUAAA
Sinocyclocheilus rhinocerous is the source of this 732-nucleotide long non-coding RNA. RefSeq lists it as uncharacterized. The record is from RefSeq and is a predicted model, not a curated record. Lineage: Eukaryota; Metazoa; Chordata; Actinopteri; Cypriniformes; Cyprinidae. The transcript has 2 exons.